RNAcentral lists this ribosomal RNA (397 nucleotides) under uncultured bacterium. RNAcentral describes it as "partial 16S ribosomal RNA". It matches the Rfam family "Bacterial small subunit ribosomal RNA", at positions 523 to 918 of the family's 1533-position model. The record is from RNAcentral.
AUACGUAGGGGGCAAGCGUUGUCCGGAAUGAUUGGGCGUAAAGGGCGCGUAGGCGGCGCGGUAAGUCUGGAGUGAAAGUCCUGCUUUCAAGGUGGGAAUUGCUUUGGAUACUGCCGCGCUUGAGUGCAGGAGAGGUUAUCGGAAUUCCCGGUGUAGCGGUGAAAUGCGUAGAGAUCGGGAGGAACACCAGUGGCGAAGGCGGGUAACUGGACUGCAACUGACGCUGAGGCGCGAAAGUGUGGGGAGCAAACAGGAUUAGAUACCCUGGUAGUCCACACUGUAAACGAUGAAUGCUAGGUGUAAGAGGUAUCGACCCCUUUUGUGCCGGAGUCAACACAAUAAGCAUUCCGCCUGGGGAGUACGGCCGCAAGGUUGAAACUCAAAGGAAUUGACGGGG